AUGGUGGAACAUGAUUCAACUCUAGGGCAUGUAACAGGCGAGGGUGGUUUUCCUCUCCUUAAUGCUGCGGCAGGUCGAGGUCGGGUAGCUGCUGCACGAAAGCUUCUGGAACACUGCCCCGAUGCUCCUUGUCUUGAACCAGAUGGUUCGACAUGUCUUCAUACAGCUAUAUGGAAUGAUCAACCGGAGUUCGUUGAGUUUGUCCUGAGGACGCCAACACUUCGCAGGCUUGUUAACGUGCAAGACAACAAUGGACUUACUGCUCUACAUUAUGCAGUCCGAAAGUGCAAUCCUAGAAUAGUUGCUGCUUUAUUGUCUCACGUGGAUAUAGAUGCGACAUUGCUUGACAAAGACGGUGAUUCAGCAAUCUGGGAACUAUCCGGGACUAACGUCAUGCAGACUGCCAAGACUUUAAACUGGAAUGAAGUGACCAUGCUUAUGGCGAAAGCUAAUCCACGGGAUGCUCCCAUUCUUCGUAAUCUUCAAAUAAGUGCCAAGCGAAGGAUGAUUCUUGCAUCAAGGAAGGAUGCAAAGUCACUAACUCAAACAUACACAAGCAACACUUCGUUAGUGGCGAUUCUUAUUGUGACAAUCACCUUUGCUGCUGCCUUCACCCUGCCAGGAGGAUACAGCGAUGAUGCAGGAAGCAAGGGACUUCCCAUCAUGUCUAGGAAGUUUGCAUUUCAGGCAUUCUUGAUUUCUGACGUCUUAGCAAUGUGCUCCUCAUUUGCUGUGGCCUUCAUAUGCAUUAUAGCAAAGUGGGAGGAUUAUGAGUUCUUGGUUUAUUACAGAUCCUUCACUAAGAAGCUCAUGUGGUUUGCAUACGUGACAACAACUACUGCCUUUUCAACUGGUUUAUACACAGUGCUGGCUCCACGUAUCCACUGGUUGGCUAUUGCAGUUUGUCUUAUGGUAGCUUUACUGCCCAUUCUCACGAAGCUGCUGGGCGAGUGGCCAAUCUUGAAGCUCAGAUUAAAGUUGGGUAAAGAUUUCAAGUCUGAUUUCCUUGACAUGGUGUGA
RNAcentral lists this ribosomal RNA (1020 nucleotides) under Triticum aestivum (bread wheat). RNAcentral's name for it is "partial small subunit ribosomal RNA". Lineage: Eukaryota; Viridiplantae; Streptophyta; Magnoliopsida; Poales; Poaceae. The record is from RNAcentral.